UCUUUUCAGAGUCAUGAAAUGCAACCUUCUAAUCGAGGAAAUAAGAUAAUAUGAAGUAUCAAACAAUGGACGUCAUUUCUCGAUUUGAACAUUUUUCAUGGAGAUCUUUAUAAAAUGGUGUCAUGAGUAAUACUUUUGAGUACUAUUGUUAUGUGACAAGUUUUUCUUUUGGAUUAUGGUGUGGGCUAUUAGUUUGCUAAAA
Non-coding RNA from Camellia sinensis, 202 nucleotides. The record is from RefSeq and is a predicted model, not a curated record. Lineage: Eukaryota; Viridiplantae; Streptophyta; Magnoliopsida; Ericales; Theaceae.